RNAcentral lists this long non-coding RNA (509 nucleotides) under Lupinus mutabilis. RNAcentral's name for it is "partial ncRNA". Lineage: Eukaryota; Viridiplantae; Streptophyta; Magnoliopsida; Fabales; Fabaceae. The record is from RNAcentral.
CCUGAACCUCGAUGUGAAAUACAAACUUUCCGGGUCCUGAACCUCGAUGUGAAAUACAAACUUUCCGGGUCCUGAACCUCGACGUGAAAUAUACGCUUUCCGGGUCCUGUACCUAGAUGUGCAAUCUAAACUUUCCGGGUCCUGAACCUCGAUGUGAAAUCUAAACUUUCCGGGUCCUGUACCUCGACGUGAAAUCAAAACUUUCCGGGUCCUAUAUCUCGACGUGAAAUAUAUGCUUACCAGGUCCUGAACCUCGAUGUGCAAUCUAAACUUUCCGGGUCCUGAACCUCGAUGUGAAAUACAUGCUUUCCGGGUCCUGAACCUUGAUGUGAAAUAUAUGCUUUCCGGGUCCUGAACCUCGAGGUGCAUCUAAACUUUCCGGGUCCUGUACCUCGACGGGAAAUCUAAACUUUCUGGGUCCUGAACCUCAAUGUGCAUCUAAACUUUCCGGGUUCUGUACCUCGACGUGAAAUCUAAAACUUUCCGGGUCCUGAACCUCGACGUGAAAU